Long non-coding RNA from Argentina anserina (silverweed cinquefoil), 411 nucleotides. RefSeq lists it as uncharacterized. NCBI's taxonomy places the organism in Eukaryota, Viridiplantae, Streptophyta, Magnoliopsida, Rosales, Rosaceae. The transcript is spliced from 3 exons. The record is from RefSeq and is a predicted model, not a curated record.
AAAGGCAUAACUUUUCCUAACUCAAGAGGAUGCUACGAAGUUUUGAAUUUGAGACUAGGCUCUUUGGACAUAUCGUCUUCAUCCCAUCAUUCUAGAGAUUUGGAUCUGAUUAGUAUUCUUAUCCGGAUAUGAUGAUCAUUGAUGUAUUGAGAUCUAAUAUGUGAGGGGAAAUUGAAGAGGACGAUGAACUCCUUCAUGAAUCUCUGAUUGAUGAGGUGCAUGAUCGCUAGUAGUAGCUGGGUGAGCUUCAUACUCUCUUUUGUAGCCAUGACUUUUUCUCAUAAGCGAUUAAUGGUAUUCGUCUAAUACUUCGAUUGAACUUCUUGUAGCAAAGAUUUUGCCCAAUUAAAGUCUUUAUCAGUUUUUUUUUGUUGCAAUUUAUGUCUUUGUUCUAACUACUUGGUUUGUAUA